GGGGUCCCAGGCUGCAUCACAGAGACAUUCCAACAGCUGGCCUCCCUGGUAAUGCCGUGACUUGAGGCCCCAUUUCCUUAAACCCUUCCCUGGGAAAUAGUGACUUCUGUGUAGUCACCAAGAGAAUCUCCAGGGAAUGUAUUAUGAGGCGUCCUUAAAAAGAGGCCUAGGGGCUUCGUAAGAAAUGGACUGUAGGUCUAGAACAAGUAUUGAUAUCGAACCUCUUCAUCUCAAGUUCAUGUGCCCAAUGCACAGUAGGCUAGUCACUGAGACACCAGUGCUUGGAGAUGGAGAAGCUUUUAUUUGAAUUGGCCAAAAUGGAAGCACCUUGUUCUCUCAAAUGCAAGUUACCAAAGGAAGACAGCAGAACCAGCAAGACCAUAAAGCUGAUCCGAGGAGAAUUCUCAGAACAGAAGUUUAUAUAGAAGCAGGACGCAUGCUGAGAAAAGUCAGCUUGGUUAGAGAAAUCUGCUCAUCUCUGCAGCUUCAAAGCAGCACGCAGGAAUCAGAGAUGCUUACAUCAGCAGGAGACCUGGGAGAUGUUCUAUGGCAUCUCUGCCAUCGUACAGACUUCUCCAUCAAGGGCUUGAGCUGCAAAUAUGAAUAAAAAAAGUUCCCUGCUGUCAAGGUGAUCCUGGAUCAUCACAAGAGAGACAGCCGAUCUAAGUGAAGAGAGAAUGUAGCUCUGAUGGAGACAUAAGAUGUUGGGUUGAUACACAGUGAUGCCUUAUGGAACCCAAGGGCUGUCAAGCUUCGGGAGCUACCACAGAGGCACCCAGAGAUGAAUAAUCAUGGGAACCACACUUCCCUUCAUCAGGAUUAGCCUAGGGUUGGAUGUGUGACUCAAUUCCAGCUAAGAAGACAGAGAAGUCUGUUGGGGACCUGGUGAAUGUUUUUUCCCUUUAAGAAAAAAUCUGGAGCCUUCUGUUUUCCAUCUUGGAACAUAACUGUGAAGAUGUAGAGCUUGGAAUUGUAGCAGCCAUGUAGUGACUACAAGGUGACAAGCCUGAGGAGAGAAGCUGAAAGGCCGUUAGGGAGAAGCUAUGUUCUUGACGAUAUCGUUGAGCCUCGGUCAGAACCAGUCCUGGAAUGGCCAACCUCCAGACUUCUUGUUACUGCAGAUAAAUAAAGGUCUACAAGGCUUAAGCCGCU
Molecule: long non-coding RNA, 1152 nt
Filed under: Equus caballus (horse)
Lineage: Eukaryota; Metazoa; Chordata; Mammalia; Perissodactyla; Equidae
Description: lncRNA (ENSECAG00000046861.1)
Source: RNAcentral